RNAcentral lists this ribosomal RNA (652 nucleotides) under Trichoderma longibrachiatum. RNAcentral describes it as "eukaryotic LSU rRNA". The stretch from base 274 to 427 matches the Rfam family "5.8S ribosomal RNA". Lineage: Eukaryota; Fungi; Ascomycota; Sordariomycetes; Hypocreales; Hypocreaceae. The record is from RNAcentral.
UAGAAGUCGUAACAAGGUCUCCGUUGGUGAACCAGCGGAGGGAUCAUUACCGAGUUUACAACUCCCAAACCCCAAUGUGAACGUUACCAAUCUGUUGCCUCGGCGGGAUUCUCUUGCCCCGGGCGCGUCGCAGCCCCGGAUCCCAUGGCGCCCGCCGGAGGACCAACUCCAAACUCUUUUUUUCUCUCCGUCGCGGCUCCCGUCGCGGCUCUGUUUUAUUUUUGCUCUGAGCCUUUCUCGGCGACCCUAGCGGGCGUCUCGAAAAUGAAUCAAAACUUUCAACAACGGAUCUCUUGGUUCUGGCAUCGAUGAAGAACGCAGCGAAAUGCGAUAAGUAAUGUGAAUUGCAGAAUUCAGUGAAUCAUCGAAUCUUUGAACGCACAUUGCGCCCGCCAGUAUUCUGGCGGGCAUGCCUGUCCGAGCGUCAUUUCAACCCUCGAACCCCUCCGGGGGGUCGGCGUUGGGGAUCGGCCCCUCACCGGGCCGCCCCCGAAAUACAGUGGCGGUCUCGCCGCAGCCUCUCCUGCGCAGUAGUUUGCACACUCGCACCGGGAGCGCGGCGCGGCCACAGCCGUAAAACACCCCAAACUUCUGAAAUGUUGACCUCGGAUCAGGUAGGAAUACCCGCUGAACUUAAGCAUAUCAAUAAGCG